RNAcentral lists this long non-coding RNA (582 nucleotides) under Salmo salar (Atlantic salmon). RNAcentral's name for it is "lncRNA (ENSSSAG00000116193.1)". The record is from RNAcentral. Lineage: Eukaryota; Metazoa; Chordata; Actinopteri; Salmoniformes; Salmonidae.
AUUGUUUCUGUUAAGUGUUUUGCACCUGACAGGACUGUUUGGCUGUCCGUUUUCUCAUUUUGUUUUGUGUAGUGUUCUUUAUUAAAUUAAAAUCAUGAUGAACACUAACUCCGCUGCGUAUUGGUCCACUUUCUCAGACGAUGACUUCCCUGUUUCAUCUGAUGACGAAGACAGCCGUUACAACAAGAAGAUAAAACCAUGUGGUGCCCAAGCUUCUUCCUGCAGUGUAUUCUAGAUACAGAAACACACUUCCUUUGCCUGCAUGUGUCAUUGUAGCAGAACUGUAUCCCGUGAACUGUAUCCUUCUCGAGGGAUUAGACAUUAGGCUGGAUUUCAAGCAGAUGACUCACAAGGAGCUGAAUGGCAGUUGGAUCAUGACAACACUCCUCCCACAGCUUUACAAGUAUUCCCUGAACUUUCUGUAUGUUUCUUUGGAAUGGCAAUUUUUUAUUUCGACCAACCGUAGUGAUGGCGUCUUUGUCCUCGAUUCGGGGAAAUAGGAGUCUCAUAAAAUGUCAGUGUCCAGUUACAGGGGGUCAGUUUGAAUAAAGAAAAUGCUCCAUUAUUACAAUAAAUUCUUUU